Molecule: non-coding RNA, 70 nt
Organism: Podarcis lilfordi (Lilford's wall lizard)
Lineage: Eukaryota; Metazoa; Chordata; Lepidosauria; Squamata; Lacertidae
Source: the annotation of a GenBank genome assembly
GGGUAACUCAGCUGGUUAGAGUGUGGUGCAGAUAAUGCCAAGGUUGCAGGUACGAAACCUGUAUGGGACA